RNAcentral lists this non-coding RNA (26 nucleotides) under Homo sapiens (human). Lineage: Eukaryota; Metazoa; Chordata; Mammalia; Primates; Hominidae. The record is from RNAcentral.
UGCCUCGGCUCCUUUCCCGUCAACAG